This 22-nucleotide small nuclear RNA is filed under the name Arabidopsis thaliana (thale cress). Its description in RNAcentral is "snRNA_06827". The record is from RNAcentral. Lineage: Eukaryota; Viridiplantae; Streptophyta; Magnoliopsida; Brassicales; Brassicaceae.
UGCAGAUGGUCUUAUUAACGUA